Molecule: ribosomal RNA, 523 nt
Filed under: uncultured haloarchaeon
Lineage: Archaea; Methanobacteriati; Methanobacteriota; Halobacteria; Halobacteriales; Halobacteriaceae
Description: bacterial SSU rRNA
Rfam family: Archaeal small subunit ribosomal RNA
Source: RNAcentral
UUUCCGGUUGAUUCUGCCGGAGGACAUUUGCUAUUGGGAUUCGAUUUAGCCAUGCUAGUCGAGCGAGUUCAGACUCGCGGCGCAUAGCUCAGUAACACGUGGCCAAGCUACCCUUCAGUCAGCGAUACCCUCGGGAAACUGAGGUUAACAGCUGAUACAAAACGCCAGCUGGAAUGCGGCGUUUCAGAAAGACACCGCUGAAGGAUGCGGCUGCGGCCGAUUAGGUAGACGGUGGGGUAACGGCCCACCGUGCCAGUAAUCGGUACGGGUGAUGAGAGUCAGAGCCCGGAGACGGAAUCUGAGACAAGAUUCCGGGCCCUACGGGGCGCAGCAGGCGCGAAACCUUUACACUGCACGGAAGUGCGAUAGGGGAAUCCCAAGUGCGAGGGCAUAUUAGCCCUCGCUUUUCUCGACUGUAAGGUGGUCGACGAAUAAGAGCUGGGCAAGACCGGUGCCAGCCGCCGCGGUAAUACCGGCAGCUCAAGUGAUGUCCCAUAUUAUUGGGCCUAAAGCGUCCGUAGCU